UACGGAGGGUGCAAGCGUUAUCCGGAUUUACUGGGUUUAAAGGGUGCGUAGGCGGGCUUUUAAGUCAGCGGUGAAAUCUCCAGGCUCAACCUGGAAAUUGCCGUUGAUACUAUUAGUCUUGAAUUAAGUUGAGGUGGGCGGAAUAUGUCAUGUAGCGGUGAAAUGCUUAGAUAUGACAUAGAACACCGAUUGCGAAGGCAGCUCGCUAAACUUAUAUUGACGCUGAGGCACGAAAGCGUGGGGAUCAAACAGG
RNAcentral lists this ribosomal RNA (253 nucleotides) under uncultured bacterium. Its description in RNAcentral is "partial 16S ribosomal RNA". It matches the Rfam family "Bacterial small subunit ribosomal RNA", at positions 524 to 776 of the family's 1533-position model. The record is from RNAcentral.